CCUCCGGGGGGCAGCAGUGAGGAAUAUUGGUCAAUGGGCGAGAGUCUGAACCAGCCAAGUAGCGUGAGGGAUGACUGCCCUAUGGGUUGUAAACUUCUUUUAUCGGGGAGUAAAACGCUCCACGUGUGGGAUUCUGUAUGUACCAUAUGAAUAAGGAUCGGCUAACUCCGUGCCAGCAGCCGCGGUAAUACGGAGGAUCCGAGCGUUAUCCGGAUUUAUUGGGUUUAAAGGGAGCGUAGAUGGCUUGUUAAGUCAGAAGUGAAAGUUUGUGGCUCAACCGUAAAAUUGCAGUUGAAACUGGGCGUCUUGAGUACAGGAGAGGUAGGCGGAAUUCGUGGUGUAGCGGUGAAAUGCGUAGAUAUCACGAAGAACUCCGAUUGCGAAGGCAGCUCACUGGACUGCAACUGACGCUGAGGCUCGAAAGUGUGGGUAGCAAACAGGAUUAGAUACCCGAGUAGUC
RNAcentral lists this ribosomal RNA (460 nucleotides) under uncultured bacterium. Its description in RNAcentral is "partial 16S ribosomal RNA". It matches the Rfam family "Bacterial small subunit ribosomal RNA", at positions 338 to 795 of the family's 1533-position model. The record is from RNAcentral.